Molecule: unclassified non-coding RNA, 275 nt
Filed under: Meripilus crocatus
Lineage: Eukaryota; Fungi; Basidiomycota; Agaricomycetes; Polyporales; Meripilaceae
Description: Rigidoporus crocatus partial internal transcribed spacer region
Rfam family: Eukaryotic small subunit ribosomal RNA (bases 1-46)
Source: RNAcentral
AAGUCGUAACAAGGUUUCCGUAGGUGAACCUGCGGAAGGAUCAUUAUUGAAUUCCAACUGGGUGAGAUUGAUGCUGGCUCUCGAGCAUGUGCACGUCUCAUUCAUUUACCUCUCACCUCUGUGCACCUUUCACAGGACAGCUGGUGGCCAUUGGCUUCAUUGCUCAUGACUACAGGUUGCUUUGUGUGCUUUAUAAACUCAAAAUUAAGUUUAGAAUGUUUACUGUGUAUCCACACAUUUAAAUACAACUUUCAGCAACGGAUCUCUUGGCUCUC